This 1714-nucleotide ribosomal RNA is filed under the name Salmonella enterica. RNAcentral's name for it is "partial 23S ribosomal RNA". It matches the Rfam family "Bacterial large subunit ribosomal RNA", at positions 1 to 1566 of the family's 2925-position model. The record is from RNAcentral. Lineage: Bacteria; Pseudomonadati; Pseudomonadota; Gammaproteobacteria; Enterobacterales; Enterobacteriaceae.
GGGUUGUGAGGUUAAGCGACCAAGCGUACACGGUGGAUGCCCUGGCAGUCAGAGGCGAUGAAGGACGUGCUAAUCUGCGAAAAGCGCCGGUAAGGUGAUAUGAACCGUUAUAACCGGCGAUGUCCGAAUGGGGAAACCCAGUGUGACUCGUCACACUAUCAUUAACUGAAUCCAUAGGUUAAUGAGGCGAACCGGGGGAACUGAAACAUCUAAGUACCCCGAGGAAAAGAAAUCAACCGAGAUUCCCCCAGUAGCGGCGAGCGAACGGGGAGGAGCCCAGAGCCUGAAUCAGUAUGUGUGUUAGUGGAAGCGUCUGGAAAGGCGCGCGAUACAGGGUGACAGCCCCGUACACAAAAGCGCAUGUGCUGUGAGCUCGAUGAGUAGGGCGGGACACGUGGUAUCCUGUCUGAAUAUGGGGGGACCAUCCUCCAAGGCUAAAUACUCCUGACUGACCGAUAGUGAACCAGUACCGUGAGGGAAAGGCGAAAAGAACCCCGGCGAGGGGAGUGAAAAAGAACCUGAAACCGUGUACGUACAAGCAGUGGGAGCCCCACCACUAAGCCAGUGGUGAACUCCACAUACGCAUCCUUUGCGGAAGAUACGAUUAACGGAGCGAAAGCGACGUUCAACCGCAAAAGAAGCAGAGGGGGCUUAGUGGUGGGGUGACUGCGUACCUUUUGUAUAAUGGGUCAGCGACUUAUAUUCUGUAGCAAGGUUAACCGUAUAGGGGAGCCGGAGGGAAACCGAGUCUUAACCGGGCGUUAAGUUGCAGGGUAUAGACCCGAAACCCGGUGAUCUAGCCAUGGGCAGGUUGAAGGUUGGGUAACACUAACUGGAGGACCGAACCGACUAAUGUUGAAAAAUUAGCGGAUGACCUGUGGCUGGGGGUGAAAGGCCAAUCAAACCGGGAGAUAGCUGGUUCUCCCCGAAAGCUAUUUAGGUAGCGCCUCGUGAACUCAUCUCCGGGGGUAGAGCACUGUUUCGGCCAGGGGGCCAUCCCGGCUUACCAACCCGAUGCAAACUGCGAAUACCGGAGAAUGUUAUCACGGGAGACACACGGCGGGUGCUAACGUCCGUCGUGAAGAGGGAAACAACCCAGACCGCCAGCUAAGGUCCCAAAGUCAUGGUUAAGUGGGAAACGAUGUGGGAAGGCCCAGACAGCCAGGAUGUUGGCUUAGAAGCAGCCAUCAUUUAAAGAAAGCGUAAUAGCUCACUGGUCGAGUCGGCCUGCGCGGAAGAUGUAACGGGGCUAAACCAUGCACCGAAGCUGCGGCAGCGAACGUAUCACUUAAAGCGAUUCAGCGGAUGACGAUUGACGGAGCGAAGCGACGUCAAAGCGUUUUACAACGUCGAGUCGGUUUAAGGAUACGUUCGUUGGGUAGGGGAGCGUUCUGUAAGCCUGCGAAGGUGGCCUGUGAGGGUUGCUGGAGGUAUCAGAAGUGCGAAUGCUGACAUAAGUAACGAUAAUGCGGGUGAAAAACCCGCACGCCGGAAGACCAAGGGUUCCUGUCCAACGUUAAUCGGGGCAGGGUGAGUCGACCCCUAAGGCGAGGCCGAAAGGCGUAGUCGAUGGGAAACAGGUUAAUAUUCCUGUACUUGGUGUUACUGCGAAGGGGGGACGGAGAAGGCUAUGUUGGCCGGGCGACGGUUGUCCCGGUUUAAGCGUGUAGGCUGGUUUUCCAGGCAAAUCCGGAAAAUCAAGGCUGAGGCGUGA